This 383-nucleotide ribosomal RNA is filed under the name uncultured eukaryote. RNAcentral's name for it is "partial 18S ribosomal RNA". It matches the Rfam family "Eukaryotic small subunit ribosomal RNA", at positions 592 to 976 of the family's 1831-position model. The record is from RNAcentral.
CAAUAGCGUAUAUUAAAGUUGUUGCAGUUAAAAAGCUCGUAGUUGGAUUUCUGGUGGGAGCGAUCGGUCUGGCGCUUAGCGCGAGUACUUGCAUCGUCUCCGGCCAUCCUUGGGGAGAGUCUGUCUGGCAUUAGGUUGUCGGGCAGAGGAUCCUCAUCGUUUACUGUGAAAAAAUUAGAGUGUUCAAAGCAGGCUUAUGCCGUUGAAUAUAUUAGCAUGGAAUAAUAAGAUAGGACUUUGGUACUAUUUUGUUGGUUUGCGCACCAAAGUAAUGAUUAAUAGGGACAGUUGGGGGCAUUUGUAUUUCGUCGCUAGAGGUGAAAUUCUUAGAUUGACGAAAGACAAACUGCUGCGAAAGCGUCUGCCAAGGAUGUUUUCAUUGA